UUCUUAUCAAGAGAAGCCGAGGGACUGGCCCGACGACGCUUCAGCAACCGGUGUAAUGGUUUAUGAAAACCAUGACCAAGGUGCUAAAUCCAGCAAGCUUACAAAACAGCUUGGAAGAUAAGAA
Molecule: non-coding RNA, 124 nt
Filed under: Bacillus sp. (in: firmicutes)
Lineage: Bacteria; Bacillati; Bacillota; Bacilli; Caryophanales; Bacillaceae
Description: Bacillus sp. SAM-I sequence
Rfam family: SAM riboswitch aptamer (S box leader)
About the family: The SAM riboswitch is found upstream of a number of genes which code for proteins involved in methionine or cysteine biosynthesis in Gram-positive bacteria. The SAM riboswitch acts at the level of transcription termination control.
Source: RNAcentral